CCUACGGGUGGCUGCAGUGGGGAAUAUUGGACAAUGGGCGAAAGCCUGAUCCAGCCAUGCCGCGUGUGUGAAGAAGGCCUUCGGGUUGUAAAGCACUUUCAGUGGGGAAGAAAGCCUUGGGGCUAAUACCCUCGAGGAAGGACAUCACCCACAGAAGAAGCACCGGCUAACUCCGUGCCAGCAGCCGCGGUAAUACGGAGGGUGCGAGCGUUAAUCGGAAUUACUGGGCGUAAAGCGCGCGUAGGCGGUCUGAUAAGCCGGUUGUGAAAGCCCCGGGCUCAACCUGGGAACGGCAUCCGGAACUGUCAGGCUAGAGUGCAGGAGAGGAAGGUAGAAUUCCCGGUGUAGCGGUGAAAUGCGUAGAGAUCGGGAGGAAUACCAGUGGCGAAGGCGGCCUUCUGGACUGACACUGACGCUGAGGUGCGAAAGCGUGGGUAGCAAACAGGAUUAGAACCCGAGUAGUC
RNAcentral lists this ribosomal RNA (464 nucleotides) under Vreelandella stevensii. RNAcentral describes it as "partial 16S ribosomal RNA". It matches the Rfam family "Bacterial small subunit ribosomal RNA", at positions 338 to 795 of the family's 1533-position model. The record is from RNAcentral. Lineage: Bacteria; Pseudomonadati; Pseudomonadota; Gammaproteobacteria; Oceanospirillales; Halomonadaceae.